Molecule: ribosomal RNA, 208 nt
Filed under: uncultured bacterium
Lineage: Bacteria
Description: partial 16S ribosomal RNA
Rfam family: Bacterial small subunit ribosomal RNA
Source: RNAcentral
CGGGCAGGUGGUCCGUUAAGUCGUUUGUGAAAAUCCGGGGCUCAACCCCGUGAAAUGCAGACGAUACUGGCGGGCUGGAGAUCGGUAGAGGCUAGCGGAAUUCCUGGUGUAGCGGUGGAAUGCGUAGAUAUCAGGAAGAACACCCGUGGCGAAGGCGGCUAGCCGGGCCGAGUCUGACACUCAUCCGCGAAAGCGUGGGGAGCAAACA